AAACCCUGACGCAGCGACGCCGCGUGCGGGAAGAAGGCCUUCGGGUUGUAAACCGCUUUCAGGAGGGACGAAGCUACUCGGGUGAAUAGCCCAGAGGGUGACGGUACCUCCAGAAGAAGCCCCGGCUAACUACGUGCCAGCAGCCGCGGUAAUACGUAGGGGGCAAGCGUUGUCCGGAUUUAUUGGGCGUAAAGAGCGUGUAGGCGGCCAGGCAGGUCCGUUGUGAAAACUCGAGGCUCAACCUCGAGACGUCGAUGGAAACCGUCUGGCUAGAGUCCGGAAGAGGAGAGUGGAAUUCCUGGUGUAGCGGUGAAAUGCGUAGAUAUCAGGAAGAACACCUAUGGCGAAGGCAGCUCUCUGGGACGGUACUGACGCUGAGACGCGAAAGCGUGGGGAGCGAACAGGAUUAGAUACCCUGGUAGUCCACGCCGUAAACGAUGGGCGCUAGGUGUGGGGGGUGUCGACUCCCUCCGUGCCGAAGCUAACGCAUUAAGCGCCCCGCCUGGGGAGUACGGCCGCAAGGCUA
RNAcentral lists this ribosomal RNA (526 nucleotides) under uncultured Actinomycetes bacterium. RNAcentral's name for it is "bacterial SSU rRNA". It matches the Rfam family "Bacterial small subunit ribosomal RNA", at positions 378 to 896 of the family's 1533-position model. The record is from RNAcentral. Lineage: Bacteria; Bacillati; Actinomycetota; Actinomycetes.